AUUGAACGCUGGCGGCAGGCCUAACACAUGCAAGUCGAACGGUAACAGGAAGAAGCUUGCUUCUUUGCUGACGAGUGGCGGACGGGUGAGUAAUGUCUGGGAAACUGCCUGAUGGAGGGGGAUAACUACUGGAAACGGUAGCUAAUACCGCAUAACGUCGCAAGACCAAAGAGGGGGACCUUCGGGCCUCUUGCCAUCGGAUGUGCCCAGAUGGGAUUAGCUAGUAGGUGGGGUAACGGCUCACCUAGGCGACGAUCCCUAGCUGGUCUGAGAGGAUGACCAGCCACACUGGAACUGAGACACGGUCCAGACUCCUACGGGAGGCAGCAGUGGGGAAUAUUACACAAUGGGCGCAAGCCUGAUGCAGCCAUGCCGCGUGUAUGAAGAAGGCCUUCGGGUUGUAAAGUACUUUCAGCGGGGAGGAAGGGAGUAAAGUUAAUACCUUUGCUCAUUGACGUUGCCCGCAGAAGAAGCACCGGCUAACUCCGUG
This 490-nucleotide ribosomal RNA is filed under the name uncultured bacterium. RNAcentral's name for it is "partial 16S ribosomal RNA". It matches the Rfam family "Bacterial small subunit ribosomal RNA", at positions 30 to 507 of the family's 1533-position model. The record is from RNAcentral.